This 478-nucleotide ribosomal RNA is filed under the name uncultured bacterium. Its description in RNAcentral is "partial 16S ribosomal RNA". It matches the Rfam family "Bacterial small subunit ribosomal RNA", at positions 28 to 523 of the family's 1533-position model. The record is from RNAcentral.
GACGAACGCUGGCGGCGUGCUUAACACAUGCAAGUCGAACGGUAAGGCCCUUCGGGGUACACGAGUGGCGAACGGGUGAGUAACACGUGGGUGAUCUGCCCUGCACUUCGGGAUAAGCCUGGGAAACUGGGUCUAAUACCGGAUAGGACCACUGCCUGCAUGGGUGGUGGUGGAAAGCUUUUGCGGUGUGGGAUGGGCCCGCGGCCUAUCAGCUUGUUGGUGGGGUGAUGGCCUACCAAGGCGACGACGGGUAGCCGGCCUGAGAGGGUGACCGGCAGCACUGGGACUGAGAUACGGCCCAGACUCCUACGGGAGGCAGCAGUGGGGAAUAUUGCACAAUGGGCGCAAGCCUGAUGCAGCGACGCCGCGUGAGGGAUGACGGCCUUCGGGUUGUAAACCUCUUUCAGCACCGACGAAGCGCAAGUGACGGUAGGUGCAGAAGAAGGACCGGCCAACUACGUGCCAGCAGCCGCGGUAA